Molecule: small nuclear RNA, 105 nt
Filed under: Pelusios castaneus (West African mud turtle)
Lineage: Eukaryota; Metazoa; Chordata; Testudines; Pelomedusidae
Source: RNAcentral
GGCUCGCUUUGGUAGCUCGUAUAUAAAAUUGGAAUGAUACAGAGAAGAUUAGUGUUGGUCCCGUGCAAGGAGGACAUGCAAAUUCAAGAAGCAUUCCAUUGACUG